This 376-nucleotide ribosomal RNA is filed under the name uncultured bacterium. Its description in RNAcentral is "bacterial SSU rRNA". It matches the Rfam family "Bacterial small subunit ribosomal RNA", at positions 521 to 896 of the family's 1533-position model. The record is from RNAcentral.
UAAUACAGAGGGUGCGAGCGUUAAUCGGAAUUACUGGGCGUAAAGCGCGUGUAGGUGGAUGAAUAAGUUGGAUGUGAAAUUCCCGGGCUUAACCUGGGCAUGUCAUCCAAGACUGUUCAUCUAGAGUACAGUAGAGGGUAGUGGAAUUUCCGGUGUAGCGGUGAAAUGCGUAGAUAUCGGAAGGAACACCAGUGGCGAAGGCGGCUACCUGGACUGAUACUGACACUGAGAUGCGAAAGCGUGGGUAGCGAACAGGAUUAGAUACCCUGGUAGUCCACGCCGUAAACGAUGAUAACUAGCCGUUGGGUAUUUAAGAUACAAAGUGGCGAAGCUAACGCGAUAAGUUAUCCGCCUGGGGAGUACGGCCGCAAGGUUA